RNAcentral lists this ribosomal RNA (497 nucleotides) under uncultured bacterium. Its description in RNAcentral is "partial 16S ribosomal RNA". It matches the Rfam family "Bacterial small subunit ribosomal RNA", at positions 28 to 507 of the family's 1533-position model. The record is from RNAcentral.
GAUGAACGCUGGCGGCGUGCCUAAUACAUGCAAGUCGAGCGAACGGACGAGAAGCUUGCUUCUCUGAUGUUAGCGGCGGACGGGUGAGUAACACGUGGAUAACCUACCUAUAAGACUGGGAUAACUUCGGGAAACCGGAGCUAAUGCCGGAUAAUAUUUUGAACCGCAUGGUUCAAAAGUGAAAGACGGUCUUGCUGUCACUUAUAGAUGGAUCCGCGCUGCAUUAGCUAGUUGGUAAGGUAACGGCUUACCAAGGCAACGAUGCAUAGCCGACCUGAGAGGGUGAUCGGCCACACUGGAACUGAGACACGGUCCAGACUCCUACGGGAGGCAGCAGUAGGGAAUCUUCCGCAAUGGGCGAAAGCCUGACGGAGCAACGCCGCGUGAGUGAUGAAGGUCUUCGGAUCGUAAAACUCUGUUAUAAGGGAAGAACAUAUGUGUAAGUAACUGUGCACAUCUUGACGGUACCUAAUCAGAAAGCCACGGCUAACUACGUG